Molecule: long non-coding RNA, 2217 nt
Filed under: Pan troglodytes (chimpanzee)
Lineage: Eukaryota; Metazoa; Chordata; Mammalia; Primates; Hominidae
Description: lncRNA (ENSPTRG00000054501.1)
Source: RNAcentral
UGUUUGUUUAUGUUUUUUAAUUUAACACUUUUUUUCCUAUUAAGACAUUAGGUCCAUGAGAGCAAGGACCAUGUUUGUUUAGUUUACUGCUAUAUUCUCAGUGCCUCUCACCUUGCCUGUCAACAUAAAAGUACUUCUUGAAAGUGGCAGGCAGUAUUUUAUUUUAAACUAUGUAUUUGUUUUGUUUCUAUCUUAGAGCCAUGAAAUGACAAGCACUGGACUGCUACUUGGUGUUUCUGCUGUAAAACUAGGCACCAUGGAUAUGUCUAUUACUCGGCUUCCUAGCAUUCACAUUCCUGCUCUCUUACCCGCAACGUCCACAGAGCUGGAUGUUCCUCACAAUGUCCAAGUGGCUGCAGUGGUUGGCAUUGGCCUUGUAUAUCAAGGGACAGCUCACAGACAUACUGCAGAAGUCCUGUUGGCUGAGAUAGGAUGGCCUCCUGGUCCUGAAAUGGAAUACUGCACUGACAGAAAGUCAUACUCCUUAGCUGCUGGCUUGGCCCUGGGCAUGGUCUGCUUGGGGCAUGGCAGCAAUUUGAUAGGUAUGUCUGAUCUCAAUGUGCCUGAGCAGCUCUAUCAGUACAUGGUUGGAGGACAUAGGCGCUUUCAAACAGGAAUGCAUAGGGAGAAACAUAAAUCACCAAAUUAUCAAAUCAAAGUAAGUACACAGCAAAGUAAUAGAUCAAAAGUCUGGAAGCUGGGAAGUUAAUUGGAAAAUACUAGAGUUCAUCCUGACAUUGGUAAAUAUGUUAAUUUUAAGCAUAGUUAUCAGAGGAAUUUUAUAAAAAUUUAGAACUCUUUUACAUGCAUAAACUCUUCUUUCAAUAGGAAGGAGAUACCAUAAAUGUGGAUGUGACUUGUCCAGGUGCUACUCUAGCUUUGGCUAUGAUCUACUUAAAAACCAAUAACAGGUAUUUCUACCCACUCACCCUUCCUCCCACGGUGAUAGUGUGAUAUCCUCUCUGACCUUGGUUGUAAAAUUCAGUUAUCUCAUGUGUUUCUUUCCCCUGUGCUGGAUUAAGCUGAUUUUCGUUCUUUCAAGUACUCUAAGUUUUUGAAAGAAAACUUGCAGUAUUUGAAGUUAUAAAGAUUUUACCUAGAAAUAAUGUAUUUGGCUAUUUUAAUUGUAUUUGACAAUAUAGUUUUCAAUUUCUGUUCAUUUCUGUUUUGUAGUUGAUGUCAGUAACACCCAAACAAUGCCCAUGUUUGUUUUCAUUAAUUUAGCAUAUUGCUGUGAGGACUGGUUAAGCCAGAAAUACUUAUCAUUAGUGUGAUCUUGGCUACCAUGUAAAACAAUGGUUUUUGCCUACUUCAAGAGCUUUUGUAAUUACCAAACCGUCUACCUUCCUAACUUGCUAUAUUAAUGCUGAUGCUUGAAAGUAAGAUCUUUGGCAUUUAUGCUUACACGUUGCAUGAAGAGUAAGUUGAGUACAAGAUGUUAUGCCAUGUAUUAAGUCUAUUAAUUAAAAACAAAUUCUAAGAUUCAAGGAGCUUUUCAGUGUUCCACAUUUCUCCCUUCAGAAAAAGUAAAUGUGUGCAGAAUUAACAAAGUGUUUAAAAAUAGAAAUUUAUUACUUUACUAUUUGGAUGAAUGUGUAGGGCAGUGCUUCCUUGGCACUGGGGAUAUUUCAUUGAGCAAAACUAAAAAUAUCUUCCCUCAUGGAGUUUAUGUUAUAGUAAGACAUACAUGUACAUCUAUAAUAACUAUUACGUUAGAAGGUAUAAAAUAUUGUGAAAAAUAUAUAGAGCAGUAGUGGAGUGGGAAGAAAUGUUUUGAAAUAGAGCUUGAGAUUCUUGAUUGUCUUGCCCUCUACUUGAACAGUGUCUCUAGGAAGCCCAGACACAUGGAGAAGUUCUGAGUGUUUUGGCCGAUAGUCCCAGAUGAGGUUCCAGCAACAGCUGGGAUCACCCAUGAGAUGUGAGUGAGGAAGGCUUUGAGAUGGUUUCAGCCCUAGCCACCACUGACCUCAUGAGAGACCACAAGAAAGAGAAUCACCUGGCCAAGCCCAGCAGACCUUCAGAAUUCAGAAAUAAAAUAAUUCGUCUUAUUUUAAGCCACUGUGUUUUGGUUUGAUUCAUCCCAUAGCAAAAGACAACUUCAACAGGCCCUUUCUGAGGCUCUGGAGGGGCCCUGGCAAUGUAUCCAUUUGGUCAUUUGCUUUUGACAAAAGCAGACAUUUUAGCUGUAAUUGGCUAAAAUUCUGAUCUCUUUCUGCC